This 75-nucleotide transfer RNA is filed under the name Pedosphaera sp. Its description in RNAcentral is "tRNA-Glu". It matches the Rfam family "tRNA". From Rfam's summary of the family: Transfer RNA (tRNA) molecules are approximately 80 nucleotides in length. Their secondary structure includes four short double-helical elements and three loops (D, anti-codon, and T loops). The record is from RNAcentral. RNAcentral also lists the same sequence under 1 other name. Lineage: Bacteria; Pseudomonadati; Verrucomicrobiota; Pedosphaerae; Pedosphaerales; Pedosphaeraceae.
GACCCUAUCGUCUAGCGGUUAGGACACUGCCCUUUCACGGCAGGUGCACGGGUUCGAUUCCCGUUAGGGUCGCCA